CAGCAGCCGCGGUAAUACGUAGGGUGCGAGCGUUAAUCGGAAUUACUGGGCGUAAAGCGUGCGCAGGCGGUUUUGUAAGACAGGCGUGAAAUCCCCGGGCUCAACCUGGGAAUGGCGCUUGUGACUGCAAAGCUAGAGUGCGGCAGAGGGGGAUGGAAUUCCGCGUGUAGCAGUGAAAUGCGUAGAUAUGCGGAGGAACACCGAUGGCGAAGGCAAUCCCCUGGGCCUGCACUGACGCUCAUGCACGAAAGCGUGGGGAGCAAAUGGGAUUAGAUACCCCCGUAGUCCCUGUCUCUUAUAC
RNAcentral lists this ribosomal RNA (301 nucleotides) under uncultured bacterium. Its description in RNAcentral is "partial 16S ribosomal RNA". It matches the Rfam family "Bacterial small subunit ribosomal RNA", at positions 509 to 807 of the family's 1533-position model. The record is from RNAcentral.